CCUACGGGCGGCUGCAGUGAGGAAUAUUGGUCAAUGGGCGGAAGCCUGAACCAGCCAAGUAGCGUGCGGGAUGAAGGCCCUACGGGUCGUAAACCGCUUUUGCACGGGGCUAACACCCUCCACUUGUGGAGGUCUGCAGGUACCGUGCGAAUAAGGGCCGGCUAAUUCCGUGCCAGCAGCCGCGGUAAUACGGAAGGACCGAGCGUUAUCCGGAUUCAUUGGGCUUAAAGGGAGCGUAGGCGGGCGUUCAAGUCAGCUGUAAAAUUGCGCGGCUCAACCGCGCCCCGCAGUUGAAACUGGACGCCUUGAGUGCACAACAGGCAGGCGGAAUUCGUGGUGUAGCGGUGAAAUGCAUAGAUAUCACGAGGAACCCCGAUUGCGAAGGCAGCCUGCCGGGGUGCGACUGACGCUGAGGCUCGAAGGUGCGGGUAUCAAACAGGAUUAGAUACCCGAGUAGUC
Molecule: ribosomal RNA, 459 nt
Filed under: uncultured bacterium
Lineage: Bacteria
Description: partial 16S ribosomal RNA
Rfam family: Bacterial small subunit ribosomal RNA
Source: RNAcentral